CAAAGACGUGAACCAGGACCUCAGAGACGCAUCUGGACCUUCAGCUGAUCCACAUACUGUUGGCCAAAGCCUCAUCAGAAAUGGUCUCCAUGGAAGUGUAGCUGUUAGGAAGCCAUUAGGGAAACAGGGAGAAAAUGCUGAGGUA
Melanotaenia boesemani (Boeseman's rainbowfish) is the source of this 145-nucleotide long non-coding RNA. RefSeq lists it as uncharacterized. Lineage: Eukaryota; Metazoa; Chordata; Actinopteri; Atheriniformes; Melanotaeniidae. The record is from RefSeq and is a predicted model, not a curated record. The transcript is spliced from 3 exons.